AUGCUGGCGCGGGCGGGGCGUGCGGCGGAGCAGUCCAGGCCGGCGGCGGAGGCGGUGCGGGUGGUGGCGAUCGGGAAGACCAAGCCGGUGUCCCUGCUGCGGCAGCUUCGACGAGAACUACGUCCAGGAGUUUAUCACCAAGGCGCCGCAGGUGAGGCCACCUCCCCCGGAUUGGAUUGGACUAGAUUGGGUUGGGUGGCUGGAUCCCCAUCUGUUUGCUGGCUGAUUGAUUCUGCUCUGUUCUCCUGUCUUCUGCAGCUUCCAGAAGAUAUCCGGUGGCAUUUCGUCGGGCACUUGCAGAGCAACAAGGUGAAAUCUCUUGUAGGCACUCAGGAAGGUGCCAAGGAGAUGCUGGACCAAGGCAUGGAGGCAUUGCGAGCUGAAGAGCACAUAGCUGCAGAUGCUGGAGGCCGGGCCGGUGAGCCGAGGAUUGGAGGUAGCGCUGAUUGGUGUUUUGAUGAAGAGAUAGGAUGGCACUGUUUGGUGUUUUUAUGCAUUUUGGUUUGCUUGUAA
RNAcentral lists this ribosomal RNA (513 nucleotides) under Triticum aestivum (bread wheat). RNAcentral's name for it is "partial small subunit ribosomal RNA". The record is from RNAcentral. Lineage: Eukaryota; Viridiplantae; Streptophyta; Magnoliopsida; Poales; Poaceae.